AUUGAACGCUGGCGGAAUGCUUUUACACAUGCAAGUCGAACGGCAGCACGGGGCAACCUGGUGGCGAGUGGCGAACGGGUGAGUAAUACAUCGGAACGUGCCCAAUCGUGGGGGAUAACGUAGCGAAAGUUACGCUAAUACCGCAUACGAUCUACGGAUGAAAGCGGGGGAUCGCAAGACCUCGCGCGAGUGGAGCGGCCGAUGUCAGAUUAGGUAGUUGGUGGGGUAAAGGCUCACCAAGCCAACGAUCUGUAGCUGGUCUGAGAGGACGACCAGCCACACUGGAACUGAGACACGGUCCAGACUCCUACGGGAGGCAGCAGUGGGGAAUUUUGGACAAUGGGCGCAAGCCUGAUCCAGCCAUUCCGCGUGCAGGAUGAAGGCCUUCGGGUUGUAAACUGCUUUUGUUACGGAACGAAACGGCGAGCUCUAAUACAGUUUGCUAAUGACGGUACCGUAAGAAUAAGCACCGGCUAACUACGUGCCAGCAGCCGCGGUAAACA
Molecule: ribosomal RNA, 503 nt
Filed under: uncultured bacterium
Lineage: Bacteria
Description: bacterial SSU rRNA
Rfam family: Bacterial small subunit ribosomal RNA
Source: RNAcentral